GAAGAAAAUCCGUCGACUUUAAAAAUCGUGAG
RNAcentral lists this transfer RNA (32 nucleotides) under Bougainvillea spectabilis. RNAcentral's name for it is "partial transfer RNA-Leu". Lineage: Eukaryota; Viridiplantae; Streptophyta; Magnoliopsida; Caryophyllales; Nyctaginaceae. The record is from RNAcentral.